CAGUAGCCGCGGGAAUACGAAGGGGGCUAGCGUUGCUCGGAAUGACUGGGCGUAAAGGGCGCGUAGGCGGUUUUGACAGUCAGAUGUGAAAUUCCUGGGCUUAACCUGGGGGCUGCAUUUGAGACGUCAAGACUAGAGUGUGUGAGAGGGUUGUGGAAUUCCCAGUGUAGAGGUGAAAUUCGUAGAUAUUGGGAAGAACACCGGUGGCGAAGGCGGCAACCUGGCUCAUUACUGACGCUGAGGCGCGAAAGCGUGGGGAGCAAACAGGAUUAGAUACCCCCGUAGUCCCUGUCUCUUAUAC
This 301-nucleotide ribosomal RNA is filed under the name uncultured bacterium. RNAcentral describes it as "partial 16S ribosomal RNA". It matches the Rfam family "Bacterial small subunit ribosomal RNA", at positions 509 to 807 of the family's 1533-position model. The record is from RNAcentral.